Long non-coding RNA from Equus caballus (horse), 1688 nucleotides. The record is from Ensembl. NCBI's taxonomy places the organism in Eukaryota, Metazoa, Chordata, Mammalia, Perissodactyla, Equidae.
GCGCACAGAGAUGGCUUUAUUCAGUUGCCCACAGGACACCUCGCAACCCCCGGCCAGGCCCCCACCUGGCAUCCCCUCCCGCCCGGCCUCCAGGAGGGGUGGGACAUCUGGCCCUCAGGGGAGGGGCCUUCCUGGGGGCCCGUGGUGCCUGGCCGGUGGCCCCCGGCUGCAGAGUCUACCAUUUUUGAGGAUUUGUGCUUCAACUUGACGCGGGGGGCUGCGGUCAGCCGGCAUCCUGGGCCACCGACGGGCAGCAACCUCCCACGCUCAGGGGGGCUCCCACCACCCCCAGACCCCGGAUCAGCCAGGGCGCCCGGCCAGGUGAGGCGGCCACCGGGGCCUUCCCGCUGGUCACAGGCUGCUGGCAGGGCAGGGCCGGUGCCUCCAACUGACCCAGGGACCCUCUGGGGGCUUAAGGCCGAUGCGGGCAGGGCCGGCGGGGCCCCCGAGGGUGUUCCUGGGACCGAGGUGGGGAUGGUGGGCACCCCCCUCACCAAGGCACUCAGGCCGGAUCCUGACACCCCUGCUCCCUGGGAAAUGCUCGGCCAGAGACACGCCCGGGACAGGAAGGCAGAGCAGCCGUGGCCCCAGCCAGGUCCGGCCGGGCAGCAUGAGAGCCUGCAGCCCCGAGAGCCAGGCGUCACUGUCCCUGGGAACAGGGGGAAACUGAGGCACGGAGGUUGGCCAAUGCGGAGCUGUCUUGGAGCCCCGGCCUUGAAAGUCCGGCCACGCACACGCUGGCCACAAGUGUCCUCCGGUGCUGGCAGCUGAGCCCCAGGCCGGGCGGCCAACUGCGGGGAGCAAGGCUUCCAGAGGCGCGGCCUGUGCUCCCGUCUGCGCGGCCAGCGGAGGCCAGGCAGGGCCCACAUCCACCGGUCUGCACCUCGGUCAGGGAAGGACACACCUGUGCCAUCUGCCUUCGGCUGCGCUCCGAGCGCCCCGGCUUUGCCCAGCGGGGCAGGUGCCCAGGGAGCCAUCCUGACCCCUGCCACGAGGCCUGGCCCCGCCACAUCGUCCCACCUGGCGGCAGCUGUCCUGAAUGAGGCGCUUGGGGUGGUGGCCACAGGGACAAGGCUGGCCGCAAUGUCAGGGGCACGGCAGCCCGAGUCUGUGGAGGGGUGACCCCGAGGAGCCUCUGGCAUGUCGGCUCCAGGCCCCUUAGAGAAGAGCAAACAUGGGGUGCACAGGGCGAGGGGCCGUCCUCCAGCUGUGCCCCCACUGCCCUGCAGCCCGGGGAAGGGACACGCCUGGGAAGGGCAAAGAGAGGCCACCGAGCCUGGUCCCAACAGGUGAGGGUGAGUCUGCGGGCGGGGCCUCCGGGCAAAGGGGACGGGCCUGUCAGUGCCCACGGGCGUCCUGCAGGGUUCAUGGGGCUCUGGCCCGGCACCACCGCCACGCGCGGCAGGUCCCAGGACCCCAGACGUCCUCCAGCCCCACAGCCACUGCGCCAGCUGGUCUGGGACCGCCUGCCAGCGGCACCUGCUCUAGACAUGCUCCAUCUCCUGCUACCUGAUGUCCUCGUCGGUCACCAUGAAGGCCUUGCAGAGCGGCUGGGCUGUGUUGAGCCACACGCCGGGGUUCUUCUCCACGGCGGCCGAGAGCUGCCCCGUGAUGGGCAUGGUGCUGGUGUGCAGUGCACUGGCGAUGGCCGAGAGCAGGGUCUCAUCUGUGCAGCCGGGCCCCACGCC